GAUGAAGAACCAGCGAAAUGCGAUAAGUAAUGUGAAUUGCAGAAUUCAGUGAAUCAUCGAAUCUUUGAACGCACAUUGCGCCCCCUGGUAUUCCGGGGGGCAUGCCUGUCCGAGCGUCAUUACAACCCUCAAGCUCAGCUUGGUGUUGGGCCCCGCCGCCCCGGCGGGCCCUAAAGUCAGUGGCGGUGCCGUCCGGCUCCGAGCGUAGUAAUUCUUCUCGCUCUGGAGGUCCGGUCGUGUGCUCGCCAGCAACCCCCAAUUUUUUUCAGGUUGACCUCGGAUCAGGUAGGGAUACCCGCUGAACUUAAGCAUAUCAAUAAGCGGAGGA
This 328-nucleotide unclassified non-coding RNA is filed under the name soil metagenome. RNAcentral's name for it is "partial contains 5.8S ribosomal RNA, internal transcribed spacer 2, and large subunit ribosomal RNA". The stretch from base 1 to 119 matches the Rfam family "5.8S ribosomal RNA", at positions 35 to 154 of the family's 154-position model. The record is from RNAcentral.